GAAGAAGUCUAGAUGUCGAAGACGUUCUUGCCGGUGAACUUGACCUCGAUGGGGCUGACGUUCUUGCCGAUGCUGCGGAAGUUCUGGCCGACGCCCUGCCUGCCGGCGUUGACCUUCUCCGGGUAGACGCCGUCCUUGGGGUGGAGGUACUGCACCUCGCCAUUGGGGAAGACGCGGUAGAACUGGUAGUUGAUCUUGUACUUGGAGCGGAGCCUGGUGCCCAGGGCCAGGCACUGCUCCUUCCUGGCCAGCUUCAGCAGGUUGGGGCCCUCGCGCAUGAUGGCGGCGCCGCCCGUGGGCAUCUCGAACACCUGCUCCUUGGGCGACGUCCAUGUGAUGACGUAGAACUCCUCCACCUGCGCCUUCCGGAGGAGUCCCCCCGUGCUCCCGCCGAAGAUCGGGGACGGCGUGUUGGGGUCCAGCUGCGGCGGCACGAACCCCGCGGGGGCUGGCUUCUUCUCCUCCGUCGCCGCCGCGGCGGGCUGAUCCUCCGCCGCCGCUCUGAGGGAGGUGGGUGCCCUCGAGGUGGGCAUGGAGAGGGUGGAUGAGCGCGGCUUCGCCGGUGCCCAGGCGGCGAGGAGGUGGCACUUGGCGGCGGAGGCUUGCGUGGCCAUGGCCAUGGUGGUCGGAGGAGGAGAGAGGAGGGUACCGUGUGGUGGAUUCGAUUC
RNAcentral lists this unclassified non-coding RNA (668 nucleotides) under Hevea brasiliensis (rubber tree). Lineage: Eukaryota; Viridiplantae; Streptophyta; Magnoliopsida; Malpighiales; Euphorbiaceae. The record is from RNAcentral.